Molecule: ribosomal RNA, 2586 nt
Filed under: Triticum aestivum (bread wheat)
Lineage: Eukaryota; Viridiplantae; Streptophyta; Magnoliopsida; Poales; Poaceae
Description: partial small subunit ribosomal RNA
Source: RNAcentral
AUGGCGUCGCCGCUUCUGGAGCCCUCUUUUGGCGUCGGCACCUCCCACACCGCCGUUCCAGAAUCUGCGAGUAUGUAUGUCUUCCUCGAUAGCAAAAUCGAGUUGCUAGCCGAGUUGAAGAAUACCACUGCAGCUAGAGAGGAGGUUGAGCUGUGCCCUCGGGAGCAAGAGGGUUCCAUCGAUGGCACCAGUCCCCAGUUUCUCGUAGCUUUUUCCCAUGAUGGUAUUCUUCAACGUAUGGCAUCGCUUAGCUUCUUGGACGGUGCUUUUGACGAGGAGUCAUUGGAAGAGGAUGAUACACAGAUGGAGGGAUCUGUAAAGGAGAAGACAUGGGAUCCAGAAGAAACAGAGGAACCAGAGGACGAGUCACAGUACUCAGAUGAUACAUGGCUGGAGGAAGCUGUGGAGGAGAAGACUUGGGAACCGGAAGAAACAGAGGAAUCAGAGGACGAGUCACAGGACUCAUAUGAUACAUUGCUGGAGGGAGCUGUGGAGGAGAACACCUGGGAACCGGAAAUAACAGAGGAACUUGAGGACAAGUCAAAGGACAUGGAGGGGAAAUGGCUGGAGGAACCUCAGAAGGAGGGAACAUGGGAACUGGAGGGAACGGAAACUGAAACGGAAUCAGAAGAGGAGCGGAUGAAUGAAAACUUCUCAGUCACGCUUAGAAUUUGGUCAACCAGGGCCAAUCUGGUUUUCUAUGAUUCGACUGGUUGGAUAUUCACAAAAGCCUAUUCUCUUCAGUGGCUUUCGAUUAAAGCGAUGGAAUCUUUGGUACGAGAAAUGAAAGAAUCGAGGCACAUUCUGAAUUUUGAUGCCUCCACAAUUCACAAUCAACAAUCAAUUGGGAGAUGCCAAUUUGAGGGUCUAGUGGUCUCCUCAUGUGCAAUAGAGACCUUCAUUGAAACACAGAUAUCUCCUAGCUUUAUUGAUUUUGAAUUGGAGAAAUGUUUAGUUAACAUUUGCAGAGAGGUUACCAUUCUAUCUAGCCUUAGAAAUGAAUACAUUGUCAAGUUUUCACAGGCAUGGGUUGAAUCUAAUAUUGAUGUGGAGUACAAAGAAGCAAGUGAAGAUGGCUCUAUAGUAGGUGAUUUUGGGCGGUCUUGCUUUCGCCCAAAUGAUUGUCCUACGUUCACAGCCACACCAAAUCUUGGGACACUUGGAUAUGAAGCCCCAGAACUUGAAGCUGGUAAAAAUAUUUCAGAAAAGGUGGAUAUCUUCCCGCUUGGAAUAAUGUACUUCUCGCUGUUCAUUAGUUAUGCAACUUUAGUCCAGAGGCAUAAUGAGUACAUACAAUUCAAGAACGAUACUUCUCGAAAGAACUGGGAAUGCUUAUCAUGGCAGGGCAACUCUUCAUUUUGCAUGGAGCUAACUGCAGAAGAUCCACUAAAGCGUCCCUGUGCUGCUGAUAUCCUAGAGAGCCUACACAAAAGAACUAGGCUGAGUCAAAAGUGCGAGAAAAGCACUAAGAAUGAUGUUAAGAUGAUUGAAAACGAGGGUUGUGAAACUCAGUCUGAAGAGGAGCUCCGUCAAACCUGCCAUCACCGUGGCCACCUAGGCCUGCGAUCAACAGAAGAAAUUUGGAAACAGGUGGCCGCUUUCCGGCGGCUUGGUGUCCUGACAAUGGUGGUGUGUCGUUCCUGGAACCCGGGCCGGCGGCCCUGGGUGCUGAGGCUGCACGGUUGGCUCUAUGGCGAGCGCUGUUGCAGCGGUGGUGUCUCCUCUUGGCUAUGUGGGCAACAAGGGGAGGCUGUCGGAUCUUUGUCAAGAUCUGUCAUAUCUCACUACAUCAGCAACAAGGUGCGCCAGGGGAAGUUGCCCAGGCAACCCGGCAACGACUCAAGGCAAGACGACACCGGGAACGCCCAUUUCAUCUUGCUCGUGUCCGGCAAGCGGGGACAGCAAGCCACCGCCCCCAACGUGUGGCGUGCUAGUUCUGUGCAUCAGACCUUGCACGACAUGUGCCGGCUGUGCAGGCGUGCCAGUGGAGUUACAGCGGCAUGGGAGCUGAUUCACCACUCCGCUUACCAUGUGGUAGCGUCCUCAACGCUGGCGUCAGGUGGCCCUGGUGUUCUCCUAUCUUUUGCACGUAUCCCCGUGGUCUCCUUUCUUGGUCCUUGCAAUCUUGUGGCAGGAGCGACACUCCACGACCCGAUAGAACUGUAUAACUCCAUGAUUGAAAAAGAUACUACAAAGGAAGCUAAUAGAGCAUAUAUGGCUGCUAGAGAGGAGUCAGAUGAUGCCGUUAAGGUUGCUUUAAAAGAAGAUGUUCCUUUAGCGCUGAUUGAGAAGGUUGAUGCUAUGUUUCAAAAAUAUGAGAAAGAUAUUGAUGGUGUUGAUGCACAAACCGGAAACCACUUGCAACUGCUUGAUAGGGAUCAUGAUGGUAAGGUGACCCCUAAGGAGGCAGCAGCAGCGAAAGGUUGCAUAGAGAAGGGAGGCAUCCAAGAGCUUAUCAGCGAGCUCUCUAAAGACAAAGGUCCUUGCAAGGACUUCCCUCUUCUCUUCAUGAUAUUGCAUGGCCAAUUAUUCUCAUUCUUUUCUGACUAUUUUCUAAUGCCUACAGAAGGAACGAUUUCUCUGUAA